UUUCCGUAGGUGAACCUGCGUAAGGAUCAUUAUUGUAUAACCGAGGUGCGAGGGCUGUCGCUGACCCGAAAGGUCGUGCACGCCCGAGUGCCCUCACACCCUUCCAUCUCACCCCUAUGUGCACCACCGCGUGGGUCCCCCUUUGGCGUGUUCGGAGGGGGGCUUACGUUUUCACACAAACUUUGUAUGCAGUGUAGAAUGUAUUUUUUGUUUUUGCGAUCACGCAAUCAAUACAACUUUCAACAACGGAUCUCUUGGCUCUC
Molecule: unclassified non-coding RNA, 263 nt
Filed under: plant metagenome
Description: partial contains small subunit ribosomal RNA, internal transcribed spacer 1, and 5.8S ribosomal RNA
Source: RNAcentral